This 539-nucleotide ribosomal RNA is filed under the name Triticum aestivum (bread wheat). RNAcentral's name for it is "partial small subunit ribosomal RNA". The record is from RNAcentral. Lineage: Eukaryota; Viridiplantae; Streptophyta; Magnoliopsida; Poales; Poaceae.
GCAGCUUUCAUCCUACGACCCGGCACAGGUUUGGGCAGACCGUCGAGCAACGGACAGGUGAAGGACUCAUGGUUGAAGGUCCACUUGGAGCCCGACCACAUAAAGAUCCCACCGUUCUUUGAGUCUGUGUCCAUAUUCAAACGCAUACUGGAAAAAAGGCCUUGGCAAAAAACUUUUCGUCAUCUUAAUUGAAUCCGGCAGAAAGGGUCAUCCUGGGGAUCGGCCUCCACUUUCUGCCAUGGCGUAUGGAACCAAUGAACUAAUUCUUUGGUCGCCCAGUUGCCUCUUCCAAUGCUUUGUGUACUGUCAGGCGGAGAAGAAGAAUUUGGGAGUAUUUCACUUCCAAUACCUUGGGAGCUUCCCUUGCUGUACAAGGACAUUAAUGUACUUAAAUCCAUGCCAUCUCCUCUUUGAGAACUCAGGCCAUAGUAGCUCUGCAAAGCUGCUCAUUGCAAACUCGGCCUAUUCCCUGUGUAGACUUGUCGCAAUCUAGUAAAUUCACAAUGUCCCUGUUUUGCUGAAUGUUCGGAGGCCACGAU